AGAGGGUGCAAGCGUUAAUCGGAAUUACUGGGCGUAAAGGGCGUGUAGGUGGUUUGAUAAGUUGGCUGUGAAAGCCCCGGGCUUAACCUGGGAGGGUCAGCCAAAACUAUUAGACUAGAGUACGGUAGAGGGUAGUGGAAUUUCCGGUGUAGCGGUGAAAUGCGUAGAUAUCGGAAGGAACACCAGUGGCGAAGGCGACUACCUGGACUGAUACCGACACUGAGGCGCGAAAGCGUGGGGAGCGAACAGGAUUAGAUACCCUGGGUAGUCCACGCCGUAAACGAUGAGAACUAGCCGUUGGGGGACGUAAGUCUUUAGUGGCGCAGCUAACGCGAUAAGUUCUCCGCCUGGGGAGUACGGCCGCAAGGCUA
RNAcentral lists this ribosomal RNA (371 nucleotides) under uncultured organism. RNAcentral describes it as "partial 16S ribosomal RNA". It matches the Rfam family "Bacterial small subunit ribosomal RNA", at positions 527 to 896 of the family's 1533-position model. The record is from RNAcentral.